AUUGAACGCUGGCGGCAGGCCUAACACAUGCAAGUCGAGCGGCAGCGGGAAAGUAGCUUGCUACUUUUGCCGGCGAGCGGCGGACGGGUGAGUAAUGCCUGGGAAAUUGCCCAGUCGAGGGGGAUAACAGUUGGAAACGACUGCUAAUACCGCAUACGCCCUACGGGGGAAAGCAGGGGACCUUCGGGCCUUGCGCGAUUGGAUAUGCCCAGGUGGGAUUAGCUAGUUGGUGAGGUAAUGGCUCACCAAGGCGACGAUCCCUAGCUGGUCUGAGAGGAUGAUCAGCCACACUGGAACUGAGACACGGUCCAGACUCCUACGGGAGGCAGCAGUGGGGAAUAUUGCACAAUGGGGGAAACCCUGAUGCAGCCAUGCCGCGUGUGUGAAGAAGGCCUUCGGGUUGUAAAGCACUUUCAGCGAGGAGGAAAGGUUGAUGCCUAAUACGUAUCA
RNAcentral lists this ribosomal RNA (450 nucleotides) under Aeromonas sp. AE150. Its description in RNAcentral is "bacterial SSU rRNA". It matches the Rfam family "Bacterial small subunit ribosomal RNA", at positions 30 to 467 of the family's 1533-position model. Lineage: Bacteria; Pseudomonadati; Pseudomonadota; Gammaproteobacteria; Aeromonadales; Aeromonadaceae. The record is from RNAcentral.